UACGUAGGGUGCGAGCGUUGUCCGGAAUUAUUGGGCGUAAAGGGCGCGUAGGCGGCUAGAUGUGUCAAAGGUGAAAUCCCUCGGCUCAACUGAGGAACUGCCUUUGAAACUGUCUGGCUUGAGGCCGGGAGAGGGUAGCGGAAUUCCCAGUGUAGCGGUGAAAUGCGUAGAUAUUGGGAGGAACACCAGUGGCGAAGGCGGCUACCUGGACCGGUUCUGACGCUGAGGCGCGAAAGCGUGGGGAGCAAACAGG
This 253-nucleotide ribosomal RNA is filed under the name uncultured bacterium. RNAcentral describes it as "partial 16S ribosomal RNA". It matches the Rfam family "Bacterial small subunit ribosomal RNA", at positions 524 to 776 of the family's 1533-position model. The record is from RNAcentral.